Molecule: long non-coding RNA, 576 nt
Organism: Wyeomyia smithii (pitcher-plant mosquito)
Lineage: Eukaryota; Metazoa; Arthropoda; Insecta; Diptera; Culicidae
Exons: 4
Source: RefSeq, a predicted model, not a curated record
GUGAAAAAGAUGAGAUCCACAACCUUCGAUUUCGCUGGAUCGAAUUUGUUUACAGUUCCAAGCGGAGUGAAAUUUUUGCAGGUUGCAUUUUUCACGAGCGUGAAAAAAUGAACAUUUUGUAUGAGAUUUUCACUUCGCUUGGAACUCUAAAUAGGGCUUAUGGAUUCAAUCAAAGAAACAAAAAUUUAAAAUAAGCAUUCAUCCGAGCAACAAACCUAACUUUUGUUGUAAAUUUUCGAGAGCACACGUGAUGUAAAGAAGUUUCUAAGGUUUAUCUCAAAAGUGAUGAAAACUCACAUGCGACUGUUAUGCAUUUAUGGGCAGUAUACAUCUGUAAAUUUUUGCAAGACAUCCUAAUGAAAGCACCUUUGCGCUAGAGAAGGGGAGUUUGUACUGGUUUAUGUACUAAAAUAUCUAUUCAGAAUUAGUAUUGUGUGUUCUGCCACAAAUGGUGACAUUUCAACACUAUUAUAUAUAUUUGUACGCUUUUUAGUAUUAUUGAAUGUUAUUAGCUUUCGCAGCUAAGAUAAUGUAAUUGUAGGAAAAUUAUUAAACCUACUUGUCAAGAAAAAUAAA